RNAcentral lists this ribosomal RNA (477 nucleotides) under uncultured bacterium. RNAcentral's name for it is "partial 16S ribosomal RNA". It matches the Rfam family "Bacterial small subunit ribosomal RNA", at positions 30 to 507 of the family's 1533-position model. The record is from RNAcentral.
AUUGAACGCUGGCGGCAUGCCUUACACAUGCAAGUCGAACGGUAACAGGUUAAGCUGACGAGUGGCGAACGGGUGAGUAAUACAUCGGAACGUGCCCAGUAGUGUGGGAUAGCCCGGCGAAAGCCGGAUUAAUACCGCAUACGACCUAAGGGUGAAAGGGGGGGAUCGCAAGACCUCUCGCUAUUGGGGCGGCCGAUGUCAGAUUAGCUAGUUGGUGGGGUAAAAGCUCACCAAGGCGACGAUCUGUAGCUGGUCUGAGAGGACGACCAGCCACACUGGGACUGAGACACGGCCCAGACUCCUACGGGAGGCAGCAGUGGGGAAUUUUGGACAAUGGGCGCAAGCCUGAUCCAGCCAUGCCGCGUGCGGGAAGAAGGCCUUCGGGUUGUAAACCGCUUUUGUCAGGGAAGAAAUCCUUUGGGUUAAUACCUCGGGGGGAUGACGGUACCUGAAGAAUAAGCACCGGCUAACUACGUG